CUCCAAGGAACAUUCAACGCUGUCGGUGAGUUUGGGAUUUGAAAAAACCACUGACCGUUGACUGUACCUCGGGG
Molecule: non-coding RNA, 74 nt
Organism: Macaca mulatta (Rhesus monkey)
Lineage: Eukaryota; Metazoa; Chordata; Mammalia; Primates; Cercopithecidae
Source: Rfam